AACAGUUGGUGUCAACGUUGAAUCCAGGACCUAGGAACUGGGUGGUGAAACACAAGCCUGCCUCGGUAGAGGGCGCUGUUACUUUACUAGAGGACUAUCUAGGAGCAGAAGAUCCAUGGUCAAACCGCCCUCCAGCAGGGGGAGAGAAACCCUGGAGCAGAGAGAAGAUGGCGGAGGCAGCGAACGUCGGAGCUUCACGAGGGAACCAGGCCGCAGUCCCCAAAAAGCAAGGCCCCGAUCGCAUAGAAUACGUCAACCCGACGGGAUCGCGGAUCCCCCGCCCAACAAUAACAACAGACCCGGCGAAGAGCAAGUUAGCACCCACCUGGAACCAGGGAAAGGAGAAAAUGGCGGCCUGCUUCGGGUGUGGACAGUUUGGCCACAUUAGGAAAUUCUGCCCGGCCGAAGAAUACGCGUCGACGAACAUCUACGCAAACGCGGCCAAGGUGGGUGAGAAGUGCCAUCCCGGGUGGGUAGUGAUGGCUGAGGUCAACGGACAGAGGAAAUGGGCCCUGAUAGACACGGGGUGCCCCCGAUCCCUAGUGAGAGAGUUAGAAGGCCCGAGACUGGGGGAGACGGUGGUGGUGAGGUGCAUCCACGGAGAUGCGAAGGAGUACGAUACAGCCAGGGCGAAUGUGACUAUUGGGACUCAAGAAGCAAUACUGGAGGUGGGUGUAGUCCCUGGCUUGACCCGAGAGAUGCUGUUGGGCAGGGACUGGCCAGGCCUGGAGGACUUGGCACGGAAAGCGGAAGACGGAUACGUGGGUGAAAAGGACAGGGGAGAAGGGGAAGGAGAAGUGAUGCAGCUUUCCAGAGAUCAAUUAAGGGGCCUGCAGCAAGAUGAUCCUUCCCUGGGACCCUGGAUUCAGAGGGCCACCCCUGAGGGAGACACCCCGGUGAAUGGAGAGGGGUUCGAACUACGCAAGGGUCUACUAUACCACGUACACCGAGGGGAACAGGGCGAAGAGACGGCUCUGGUGGUCCCAGAACAUUUAAGGGGUUGGGUAAUGCAUUGGGCACAUGAUUUACCAGUGGCCGGACAUUUGGCAAUGCAGAAAACCCUAGCCCGUAUUCGACAAAGAUUUUC
RNAcentral lists this long non-coding RNA (1087 nucleotides) under Pogona vitticeps (central bearded dragon). Its description in RNAcentral is "lncRNA (ENSPVIG00000004621.1)". Lineage: Eukaryota; Metazoa; Chordata; Lepidosauria; Squamata; Agamidae. The record is from RNAcentral.